UACGUAGGGUGCAAGCGUUAAUCGGAAUUACUGGGCGUAAAGGGCGCGCAGGCGGCUCAUUUUGUCAGGCGUGAAAGCCCCGGGCUUAACCUGGGAACUGCGUUUGAUACGGAUGGGCUAGAGUUCGGGAGAGGAGAGUGGAAUUCCCAGUGUAGAGGUGAAAUGUGUAGAGAUCGGGAGGAACACCGGUGGCGAAGGCGGGUCUCUGGGCAAUUCCUGACGCUGAGGCGCGAAAGCGUGGGGAGCAAACGGG
This 253-nucleotide ribosomal RNA is filed under the name uncultured bacterium. RNAcentral's name for it is "partial 16S ribosomal RNA". It matches the Rfam family "Bacterial small subunit ribosomal RNA", at positions 524 to 776 of the family's 1533-position model. The record is from RNAcentral.